This 253-nucleotide ribosomal RNA is filed under the name uncultured bacterium. RNAcentral's name for it is "partial 16S ribosomal RNA". It matches the Rfam family "Bacterial small subunit ribosomal RNA", at positions 524 to 776 of the family's 1533-position model. The record is from RNAcentral.
UACGUAGGGUGCAAGCGUUGUCCGGAAUUAUUGGGCGUAAAGAGCUCGUAGGCGGCUUGUCGCGUCGGCUGUGAAAACCUGGGGCUCAACCCCGGGCCUGCAGCCGAUACGGGCAAGCUAGAAUUCGGUAGGGGAGACUGGAAUUCCUGGUGUAGCGGUGAAAUGCGCAGAUAUCAGGAGGAACACCGGUGGCGAAGGCGGGUCUCUGGGCCGAUAUUGACGCUGAGGAGCGAAAGCCAGGGGAGCAAACGGG